RNAcentral lists this transfer RNA (73 nucleotides) under Stegodyphus mimosarum. It matches the Rfam family "tRNA". From Rfam's summary of the family: Transfer RNA (tRNA) molecules are approximately 80 nucleotides in length. Their secondary structure includes four short double-helical elements and three loops (D, anti-codon, and T loops). Lineage: Eukaryota; Metazoa; Arthropoda; Arachnida; Araneae; Eresidae. The record is from Rfam by way of RNAcentral.
GUCUUCGUGGUGUAAUGGUCAGCACACUCGACGCGGAUUCAAGAGGUCCGAGGUUCGAGUCUCGGCGAGGGCA